This 22-nucleotide non-coding RNA is filed under the name Arabidopsis thaliana (thale cress). The record is from RNAcentral. Lineage: Eukaryota; Viridiplantae; Streptophyta; Magnoliopsida; Brassicales; Brassicaceae.
GAGACUUGGGAGCCAGAGGCGA